This is a non-coding RNA of Coturnix japonica (Japanese quail), 1876 nucleotides long. The record is from RefSeq and is a predicted model, not a curated record. NCBI's taxonomy places the organism in Eukaryota, Metazoa, Chordata, Aves, Galliformes, Phasianidae.
GCCCAGCGGGUGGGCGAGCUCUGCUCUCGGGGAGGGCAGGGGACCAACUCUCCACUGUGGCUCAGCCCUGCCUGGGGCAUAUCAGCAAAGAGAGACAUGGAUGGCUCAAGGAACUGAUUAUUCCCAGGCAGAUCUCUGAGGCUGCACUGCCCAUUUCACAGGCUCUACAUUGCUGCUUUCUGCAGCUGGCACUGCUCUCACUACUCCAGCCUGUAACAUUUUGCACAGGGGCAGAGCACAGAGCCCUCUCCUCGGUGGGAGGCCAGCUGAGCCAUGUCAAACCUUUUUGUCAAUAUUAUUCUGAGACACAAAAUUACAAGACCUGAUGCAUGGAGUGCUGUGGGAUUUUACAUUCAGAAAACAACCCUCAAAACAUCCAUGAAUAUGAGAAAACGAACAGUACUUUUUUGUGGUGAAUCUGUAUGAGAGCUACACACAGACUCAUCUAUCACAGUUCUGUAGCAACAGAAGUAAUUACUGCAGACUUUUAACCAGCAAAUCCCUAGAAGUGCUUUAGAGCGAGGGUGAAGGAGGAAACAGAUUUCAAAGCACAUGAAAAGUAUUUCCUGUGUGAGGAUUUUAAAGGGAAAGCAGCUGUAAGAAUGAAGAUUUUCAGGAAGAAGAUCAGAUCUGUUAAAAUACUCAGAUGCUCUUCUGUGUCCAUCCCAGAGCAGCACUUUACAACACACACGCAAACCAGACCAGAGUUCAUCCAUCUCCUUUCACUCUUGGCUGUUCUUUCAGAGGAGGAGAAUACAGCUGUAGAGGAACAGUUUAAAGCUUGAGCUCUUGAUACAUAUGAGGAUAAUAUGUCUUCAUUUUAAAAAUACAGAUGGAUUAUUUCCACAGAUGAUUUGCAGAUGUAACAUUCAGCUAUUUAAAGACUAGAGGCUUUUUCAAUGCUUUUGGAAGAGAAAAUCUUGUUUGUGGCAGGACUUAAGCUGAAAUUGUAGAGCUGUUCCUUUAGUACCCAUAGCACCCAUCACAUUUUUGUUCUUUGUUUCAUUCAAGGGUUUCCCUUUUUUUGUCUUUGCCUUUUCUCUGUCUCACACUUGGCUCUUUUCUGCCCGUGUCCAUAGCAGCAUCCACUGGAGGACUGCAAUGAUGCUGAGAUGGCCUUCUGCCAGGGGAAGGACAGAAUCAGUGAGCAACAGGCAGUGCAGUUUGAGCCCGGAGAAAGGCAGAAGUAAAAACAUCCAGUUUCUUUUCAACUAUCUUCUUUGGGAGAGGGAGAGAUGGGAACAUCUUUAUUUUUGCCGCUUUUUAUAGGUCUUCUGCAGUUGGUGGAGACAUUAAAUGGAAUCCAAGUGUCACUAUUCCAUGCUAGAAAUUCAGGGGACAAUGGGAUGGAAAUGUUUAACCUACACCUGUCUUUAUCAGAUCUUCUCCACUAAGUAGAAAUUAGAUCUGCUCAGAGUCUGCAUGGAAAAGACUGGAUACUACAGAAUACACACCUUCUGUGCAGUAUGAAGAAGAGCUAUUGAAACAAAAGCACCGGAGUCAGCUACUGGCACAGUGAUACUGUAGCAAUAUCACAGCAUUUCUGCAUAGAGUCACCCAAAGAUUAUAAAAAGAACUGGCUCAUUUCCAUGGAAGCAAGACUAUGCACAAGGACUGCACAGUAGGGCAAGUCCCUGCUGCUCAUGCAGCAAGGUGUCUGCUGGAAUGCUCACUCCCAAGGAAUAGACCACUGGAGAACUUAUUGUUUGCUGCUGCAGCAGAUUUCUGCACUUACCAAGUAGUAAAACUGAAAUGGCACUGAUCUAUUCAUAACAUUAUCAUUUCCUGUAGAGAAAUCCCAUAACAUAGUUAUACUGUGUGGAUCACAGUAACUAGUUCGAUGAUACUUACAUAAAUGUCAGGAGAUAUUGGCUGU